This 614-nucleotide ribosomal RNA is filed under the name uncultured Bacteroidota bacterium. RNAcentral describes it as "bacterial SSU rRNA". It matches the Rfam family "Bacterial small subunit ribosomal RNA", at positions 367 to 975 of the family's 1533-position model. The record is from RNAcentral. Lineage: Bacteria; Pseudomonadati; Bacteroidota.
GACAAUGGAGGUAACUCUGAUCCAGCCAUGCCGCGUGCAGGAAGACUGCCCUAUGGGUUGUAAACUGCUUUUAUACAGGAAGAAAUAUACCUACGUGUAGGUAUUUGACGGUACUGUACGAAUAAGGAUCGGCUAACUCCGUGCCAGCAGCCGCGGUAAUACGGAGGAUCCAAGCGUUAUCCGGAAUCAUUGGGUUUAAAGGGUCCGUAGGCGGUCUUUUAAGUCAGAGGUGAAAUCCUACAGCUCAACUGUAGAAUUGCCUUUGAUACUGAAAGACUUGAGUUAUUGUGAAGUAGUUAGAAUGUGUGGUGUAGCGGUGAAAUGCAUAGAGAUCACACAGAAUACCGAUUGCGAAGGCAGAUUACUAACAAUAUACUGACGCUGAGGGACGAAAGCGUGGGUAGCGAACAGGAUUAGAUACCCUGGUAGUCCACGCCGUAAACGAUGGAUACUAGCUGUUCGACCAACAUUGGUUGGUUGAGUGGCUAAGCGAAAGUGAUAAGUAUCCCACCUGGGGAGUACGGUCGCAAGACUGAAACUCAAAGGAAUUGACGGGGGCCCGCACAAGCGGUGGAGCAUGUGGUUUAAUUCGAUGAUACGCGAGGAACCUUACC